This 392-nucleotide ribosomal RNA is filed under the name uncultured bacterium. RNAcentral's name for it is "partial 16S ribosomal RNA". It matches the Rfam family "Bacterial small subunit ribosomal RNA", at positions 523 to 918 of the family's 1533-position model. The record is from RNAcentral.
ACACGUAGGGGCCUGACGUUGUUCGGAAUCAUUGGGCGUAAAGGGCGCGCAGGCGGCCGUCCAAGUCCGGUGUUAAAUGGUCGGGCUCAACCCGAUCAUGCGCUGGAAACUGGGCGGCUUGAGUCCCGUAGGGGAUGCCGGAAUUCCAGGUGUAGGGGUGAAAUCUGUAGAUAUCUGGAAGAACACCGAUGGCGAAGGCAGGCAUCUGGCCGGAGACUGACGCUGAGGCGCGAAGGCGCGGGGAGCGAACAGGUUUAGAUACCCUGGUAGUCCGCGCAGUAAACGAUGCGCACCAGGUGUCGGGCGGCAGCGCCCGGUACCGGAGCUAACGCGAUGAGUGCGCCGCCUGGGGAGUAUGCCCGCAAGGGUGAAACUUAAAGGAAUUGACGGGG